CUUUGUUUUUUCUUUUCGUCUCUUUGGCGCCUGCGUCGGCAGAACUUUGUUGCUUUUUUCGCUUUGCGUGGGCGCAAGAGAGUAAGCAACAAUUAGCGCUGUGAUUUAUUGAAAAAUCUAUAAAUUAUCUAUUAUUAUCAGUAUGGAAAAUACACCCACGCAAAAAAUGAAGCGCUUUAUCUUGGAUGCAGAGCAACCUAUGCCAAAGGAACAGCCAAUAUCGCGUAAUAAGAAAUUGGCUAACUAAAAUCAAAAAUUGACGUUCUAACGGAAGCUGUGGCGGAGGCGGUGACCCUUAUUAUAUUGCAAGAUAAAAAAAAUUACGGAACCUAGUGGGGACGAGACCAUCUAUGUCCAACUGCCUAAGAAAUGUGCUGCACGAGAGGCUGAUGUUGGCGUAUUAUUUGGAUGAAGCCUCGGAAGAAGUUUCAAGAAAUCGGCGAUUGAAAAACAGAUUGAAACGCGUAUUUCAUCACUCAUCUAUACAUAUGUAUAUGAUGAUUUUUCCGAACUGCUAGAUGACAAUGUCAUCGACCAAUGCCUUAAGACAUCGCCAUGAUAAUGGAGCGUAUGGUGUGUCAUCGCUUAUGUCAUCGGGGGUAGUGACGCUGUCAUCGACGUGUCAGCAGAUGAGUCAUCGAAGGCCCGUACUGCAGGCGAAGAGUUUAGGGAUAUACUAGUUUUGUGGUGAACGUGGGUAGCGAUCGUUUCCAACCCCAUAUUCCUGAUCAGCAUCAACAACCG
RNAcentral lists this small RNA (744 nucleotides) under Drosophila pseudoobscura pseudoobscura. RNAcentral's name for it is "GA31770". Lineage: Eukaryota; Metazoa; Arthropoda; Insecta; Diptera; Drosophilidae. The record is from RNAcentral.